UCCAAGCUUUUGAUGAUAUGAUGAGAAAGGACAGUAGAGCAAGGUGGGGUAACCACUUCGGAUGUGUUCUAUUUCCCUUCACCAUUGCAUUACGUGAAGAUCCAUUAGAUUAUAUACGUGUUGCUAAAGUUACUGGACACAGAAAAAAAUCUACUCUUGAAGCUAAAUUCACUUAUUCCAUGGUCAAGUUUUCUCCCAAAUGUUUCACUAAUAAGAUAUCGAGCUUUCGAAAUCGAAUCACUUUGUGGUUUUCAAAUGUACCUGGUCCAGAAGAAGAAAUAUCUUACUUUGGCCAUCCUG
Molecule: unclassified non-coding RNA, 300 nt
Filed under: Hevea brasiliensis (rubber tree)
Lineage: Eukaryota; Viridiplantae; Streptophyta; Magnoliopsida; Malpighiales; Euphorbiaceae
Source: RNAcentral